This 253-nucleotide ribosomal RNA is filed under the name uncultured bacterium. Its description in RNAcentral is "partial 16S ribosomal RNA". It matches the Rfam family "Bacterial small subunit ribosomal RNA", at positions 524 to 776 of the family's 1533-position model. The record is from RNAcentral.
UACAGAGGGUGCGAGCGUUAAUCGGAAUUACUGGGCGUAAAGCGCGCGUAGGCGGCUUUGCAAGUCGGGUGUGAAAUCUCGGAGCUUAACUCCGAAACUGCAUUCGAUACUGCCGUGCUUGAGGACUGGAGAGGAGACUGGAAUUUACGGUGUAGCGGUGAAAUGCGUAGAUAUCGUAAGGAAGACCAGUGGCGAAGGCGGGUCUCUGGACAGUUCCUGACGCUGAGGCACGAAGGUCAGGGGAGCAAACGGG